AUUAUUUUUUUAGAUUAUUUUUUUAUUGUUGAAAAAAUUAAAAACAAAUUGGUUUUUUUACAAUAAAUUAAAAUUUAUAAUAUUUCAAUUUUUUAAUUUUUAGUUUUAAAUAAA
This 114-nucleotide ribosomal RNA is filed under the name Meloidogyne arenaria. RNAcentral describes it as "partial 16S ribosomal RNA". The record is from RNAcentral. Lineage: Eukaryota; Metazoa; Nematoda; Chromadorea; Rhabditida; Meloidogynidae.